GAGUUAGAGGGAACGAGAGAGAGAGAGAGAGAGAGAGAGAGACAGGCAGCAUCAUAGUGACUAACCACUGAAUCCCUUUAAUGCACCAGAAGUGAUAAUCCAACCAGAGAGUUUACCGUAUUCAACUCCAUGAGCGUUGUGUCGAACAUCCGGGUUUUUGGACAGGUACGCUUUGAGAGGAAUUUGAAGGCAGCCAUUUUCUUUCAUUCGCAUCGAGUAUGAGAACGAAAGAUUGGAGAAUUCCUCAGCAAAUCAUUAAAGAGAAAUAUGCCCUGGGAAUUGUCACCUUGUUCCCCUGCUUUCAAAGACCCUCUUUCCAGGAAAGGAUAUGAACACUUUUACGAUAGCCAAAGUGGCUCUGGAUUUCUGGCAUGGUGGCUCAAGACAAUUCAGAGGAAGACAAAACUUGGGUCCAAGGAACCAAAAACACAGAUGGCAAGAGGAGGUGGUCCAAGACAGCAGAGAGAGCUGCCUCAGAUUGGUGGUCAGUUGGAUGAGGAGCGUUGUAAAGAGGUCAUAUCCUUAAUGAACCACACCAGUGAAAUUAUCCUGCAGAAGAUGAAGGAAGCCUUUGAGUAGAGACAGUGCCUCAUUCACAAUCCUGAUGAGUCCCACAACAUAUUCUCAGUGUUUCCAAGGCUGCUAGACACAAAAGAACUGAUAUGUUAAAAUUUCAGCCUCCUCUUUGGACCAGAAACUGCUGCAAACUGUUUGAGAAGUGGCAUACAUCCUUCAAAAGAAAGGUGAUGAGAGAAGCAGAGAGCCUUACAACCACCCCAGUGCUCCAGAGUUUGCUGAGGUCUGCCAGGAAUCAGAACAAUGAUGAGGAUCACCCAGAGUGCGAUGAUAUGGCAUCAUUUCUUCUGCUCCUGCAUAUCCUGCCACCUCAGCCAACUAAAAAGAAAACACAGAAGAUCGGCGCGGCUCAGGCUAUGGACCACAUAGUUGUGUUUCACAAGUCAUGCAGGAGCCUUGAAGAACACCUAGAAAACCAGAGGGCACACCACCAGCCAUACCUUCUUGCUUCUGGAACUGGCAAGCAGGCCAUCAGUACUUACUACGUUGUGAUAGACAAGAGGCUCAUUCCCUGCAAGGGAACAACGUCAUUAGCAGCCUUUGAUGAACUCUUUAAUGUACACUUUGUUGUCAGUGUAAGUUACGAUGAUGCUCUCAACAACAUGUACACAUUCCUCCAGACAAAGGUCUAUAGUAUCAAUGUUGAUACCACUAAAGAGAGUCCAAAGGUGAAUGAAUUGAGAGCCAAAUUCUUGGAACAGUGUAUAUAUGCAACAUAUGUAAGUCACUGUGCAAUGCACUUGGUGCAGUUAUUUCAGCACUUUUUUUGCAUAGGUUAUAUUUUGGCAAAAAGUUUUAUUUUUCUUAAUCUACAGUGUUUGUUUUUGCACAUCAAACAAAGGCUAAUUUGAGCCACGUUCAGAGGUAGAAACUAGGAGCCAAGUUCUUAAACAAUGUAUAGAUAUUUGUCAUAUUUGUAGAUCCCUGCAUGAUGCACCUAGUGCAUUAAUUCAGCACCUUAAGUUUUUUCAUGGGUUAUACAAAAAAAAUGUUAUUUGUGCUCAAGAAGGCUGUUCAUUGAGUUUAAAAGUUAUGCAGUUUUAGAAAGCAUUUAAAUGGUUGUCAUAGUACUGUUAACGUGGGUUCAAGAAACAAUGUUAAUAUGCAAACACCGCAUCAAUCAGAUUUACAGGGCAGUGGUGUCGCCAACACUGUUGUGUUAUCUGUUGUUGAAAGCAUGGAAGAGUAUGUCAGUGAAAUUCAUGCAAAUCUUAAAGAACAAGUAUUAAGUGCAGUGCCUGCUGAUUCAAAGAGAAACAAAGUAUCUGGAGUCUAUGAACAGGUACCAGUAAAUGAGACUUUCAUUUGCAUACCCUUGUUAAAAACUUUAGAGUUCAUUUUCAAGAAUGAAGAAGUGUGUUUCCAAAUUAAUAAAUCUGCUGCUCUUGGUAGCUUUUACCAGGAUUUCUGUGAUGGAAAAUAUUGUAGAAAUCACCCAUUGUAUUCAAAAUCAAAAAAUGCAUUACAAAUUCAAGUUUAUUAUGAUGACUUUCAAACAUCAAAUCCACUA
Long non-coding RNA from Lates calcarifer (barramundi perch), 2086 nucleotides. RefSeq lists it as uncharacterized. NCBI's taxonomy places the organism in Eukaryota, Metazoa, Chordata, Actinopteri, Centropomidae. The record is from RefSeq and is a predicted model, not a curated record. The transcript has 7 exons.